Long non-coding RNA from Schistocerca serialis cubense, 653 nucleotides. RefSeq lists it as uncharacterized. Lineage: Eukaryota; Metazoa; Arthropoda; Insecta; Orthoptera; Acrididae. The record is from RefSeq and is a predicted model, not a curated record. The transcript has 3 exons.
CAUAUAUAAGACAAUUUUGCAUCACAUUUUUUUCUGAAAUAACUUUUAAACAUCAUUUGCUUCCAUCUUCUGAUAUCUUAUUUGUAUACUCAAGAUUUAGAAAUUCUGUCAUGUAAUGUAGGCUGUAUACAGUGCUUAUAAUUGUGUUAUUCAACAAAUGACUAAGUAUCCUUCAGGACAGAAACUUAUACAGUGGUAAAGAUGUAGAAGAUGGAUGACCAAAACUGAGAGAGAAUUCUAGGACAGAAAAUAUGUAGAUGUUGGAUAACCAUCCUGGAACAGAACCGUAGGACAAGAAAGAUGUAGAUGAUGGGUGACCAAGCUGGGACAGAAUGCCAAGACAGGAAAGAUGUAGAAAUGAGUGGACCAGGAAGCAAAGAAUCAUUACACCAAGGUGUGCUCGGUUGUCUUGGACACUCCUAAUGUCCCCUGUGACAGGUCAGCCAGCAGCGACAAAGUCAUUAGUAUCGGGGUGGACACCCACCUUCCAGGCAACGAGAACAGCAGCUCAUCAUCGACGAUGUUUUCUUUUUCUAUUGUGGUGGGCAUCCGCAUACUAUAAGCGCAGCCAAUACACUAGCAGCACCACGUGCCGACGCCACGGGCACAGAGAAGACAUCACCUAUUGGCUGGAGACGCUGUGGCUCUGCUGU